This is a small nuclear RNA of Gorilla gorilla gorilla (western lowland gorilla), 104 nucleotides long. Lineage: Eukaryota; Metazoa; Chordata; Mammalia; Primates; Hominidae. The record is from Ensembl.
GUGCUCACUUUGGCAGCACAUACAUUAAAACUGGAACAACACAGAGAUUAGCAUGGCUUCUGUGCAGGGAUGACAUGCAAAUUUGUGAAGAGCUCUUUCAGAUA